RNAcentral lists this ribosomal RNA (443 nucleotides) under uncultured bacterium. RNAcentral's name for it is "partial 16S ribosomal RNA". It matches the Rfam family "Bacterial small subunit ribosomal RNA", at positions 28 to 507 of the family's 1533-position model. The record is from RNAcentral.
GAUGAACGCUGGCGGCAUGCCUAACACAUGCGAGUCGAUCGGUAAGGCUCUUCGGAGUACUCGAUAGGCGGACGGAUGAGUAACUCGUAGGAACACACCCUGCAGUGAGGGAUAAGUCACCGAAAGGUGUUCUAAUACCGCAUACGGUCUUCGGAUUAAAGCAUUUAUGCGCUGAAGGAGUGGCCCGCGUCCUAUUAGAUAGUUGGUGAGGUAAUGACUCACCAAGUCGAUGAUGUGUAGCUGGUCUGAGAGGAUGAUCAGCCAGACUGGAGCUGAGACACAGUCCGGACUCCUACGGGAGGCAGCAGUGAGGAAUAUAUCACAAUGGGCGAAAGGUUGAUGGUGCAAUGCCGCGAGAAGGAUGAAAGCCGUCGGGUUGUAAACUGCUUUUAUAAGAGAAGGUUAUGACGGUAACUAAUGAAUAAGGGACGGCUAACUACGUG